This 252-nucleotide ribosomal RNA is filed under the name uncultured bacterium. Its description in RNAcentral is "partial 16S ribosomal RNA". It matches the Rfam family "Bacterial small subunit ribosomal RNA", at positions 524 to 776 of the family's 1533-position model. The record is from RNAcentral.
UACGUAGGUCCCGAGCGUUGUCCGGAUUUAUUGGGCGUAAAGCGAGCGCAGGUGGUUUAUUAAGUCUGGUGUAAAAGGCAGUGGCUCAACCAUUGUAUGCAUUGGAAACUGGUAGACUUGAGUGCAGGAGAGGAGAGUGGAAUUCCAUGUGUAGCGGUGAAAUGCGUAGAUAUAUGGAGGAACACCGGUGGCGAAAGCGGCUCUCUGGCCUGUAACUGACACUGAUGCACGAAAGCAUGGGGAGCAAACAGG